Molecule: ribosomal RNA, 492 nt
Filed under: uncultured bacterium
Lineage: Bacteria
Description: partial 16S ribosomal RNA
Rfam family: Bacterial small subunit ribosomal RNA
Source: RNAcentral
AGUGAACGCUGGCGGUAGGCCUAACACAUGCAAGUCGAACGGCAGCACAGUAAGAGUUUGCUCUUACGGGUGGCGAGUGGCGGACGGGUGAGGAAUACAUCGGAAUCCACUUUUUCGUGGGGGAUAACGUAGGGAAACUUAUGCUAAUACCGCAUACAACCUACGGGUGAAAGCAGUAGUUCUUGGCACUUUUCGCGAUUGAUUGAGCCGAUGCCGGAUUAGCUAGUUGGCGGGGUAACGGCCCACCAAGGCGACGAUGCGUAGCGGAGCUGAGAGGAUGAUCGGCCACACUGGAACUGAGACACGGUCCAGACUCCUACGGGAGGCAGCAGUAGGGAAUAUUCGGCAAUGGGCGAAAGCCUGAUCCAGCAAUACCGCGUGGGUGAUGAAGGCCUUCGGGUUGUAAAGCUCUGUUGUUAGGAAAGAAAAAAAGCGUAUGAAUACCCGCCUGUUCUGACGGUACCCAAAGAAUAAGCCCCGGCUAACUUCGUG